CAUGCGCAUGCGCAAACAGACAUGGGUUCUUUGAUGCUCCGAAGAUUAUUUUAAGAAAAAUUCUUUAAUCCUAAUCCCGUUCAUCGCAGAAAUCGUCCACUUUGUACGUCAUGAACAUCAGAUGACAUUGAGAGAAGAGAAUCGUUAACUUCAGAAGCAUCACCAUUACCAUCUUCUCAAGAUUAAAGGAAAAUGUUGUGCAGAAGAAACAUAAAACCCUUUUUUAUGUAAACGGAUGGUAAACUGUUUCUUUAGUCCUGUGAUUCCUAGAAAAUUUCUCUUUUCCAAAUAGGGAUAAAUUUACAAAGCAAUUUGCACCAUCUUUGGAUAUUGACAGAUCACAAAUGAUGGCAAUAUAGCAAAAGAAAUAUUUGUUACCAACGAACUAUAAAAACAGAAAUAAGAAAACUGCUAAUUUAUUAUGGUGAGAGAAAAAAUAUCGAAACAAUAUUUGAGACACAUAACCCUUUAGGUGGUUUAAACCAGCCAUAUCUGGCCCCAAAUAGUCUACCUGUUUUAGAUUAGCCUCUAUCACCCAAAAAUAAACACACACGUCAUUGAAAUUUUGAAGCUACAAUAUAAUGCAUGAUUAAUUCAAAAUUGAAUAAAUAAGCAUUGCAUUUGACAAAGUAAUCUGAAUAUUAAUGGGUUAAAAGAAUGAGUGUUUUUGUAAAAACAUGGCAAAAACAAUGCAAAAAUUAUACACCUGCAAUAUCUGUAAAAAGUCCUUUUCUAAGGCCGUUACACUCACCAAACACCGAUGCCAUUACUGCAACAUAUGUGGUAAAUCAUUCUCGCGUGCAGAUAGUUUAGCUUCACACAAAUAUAGCCACACGGGAGAAAAGAAACCAUAUAGUUGUGACAUCUGUGGUAAAUCCUUUUCUCAUAAACAUCAUUUAGCUAGACACAACUAUGUUCAUACUGGAGCAAAGCCACAUCAUUGUGAUAUCUGUGGUAAUUCAUUCUCCGAUGGGAGUACUUUAACUAAACACAAACGUAUUCAUACAGGGGAGAAACCGUAUCGCUGUGAUAUCUGUGGUAUAUCAUUCUCUCAGAUUAUUCACUUAACUAGACAUAUAACUAGUCACACAGGAGAAAAACCCUAUAAAUGUGAUGUCUGUAAUAAAUUAUUCUCUCAAGCAUAUACUUUAGCACAACAUGUACGAACCCAUACUGGUGAAAAACCAUAUCACUGUGACAUUUGUGGUGAAUCAUUCUGCCAAAACAACCUCUUAGCUGCUCAUAAGUAUAUUCAUACAGGAAAGAAACCAUAUUACUGUGAUAUUUGUGGUGAUGGAUUUUCUCAAAAAUGUGCUUUAGUUGCUCAUGGAUAUGUUCAUACAGGAGAGAAACCUUACCACUGUCAUGUUUGCGGUGAUGGCUUUUCUGAAAGAAGUGCCUUGAAUGCGCAUGCUUAUGUUCAUACAGGAGGGAAACCUUAUCACUGUGAUAUGUGUGGGAAAUCUUUCUUCUUCAGGGGUUCCUUUACCAAACAUAAACUGAUCCAUACUGGAGAAAAACCAUUUCACUGUAACAUUUGCGGUCAGUCAUUCUCUGAUAAAAGUGUCUUCAGUGAUCACAAACAGAUCCACACUAAAGGGAAGCCACAUCAAUGUGAUAUCUGCGGUAAAUCGUUCUCUCAAAGUAGAGCUUUAACCAAUCACAUACGCAGUCAUACAGGAGAGAAACCAUAUCGCUGUGAUGUCUGUGGUAAAUCAUUCUCUGUAAGAAGUUCCUUGAAAAAACACUCGCGCAUUCACACAGGAGAGAAACCAUAUCAGUGCGAUAUUUGUGGUUAUUCAUCUACUAUUGAAAGUAACAUAAUUCAACACAAACGUAUUCACACAGGAGAGAAGCCACAUCGCUGUGAUAUCUGUGGUAAAUCGUUUUCCAUUGCUAGUAACUUAAAUAGACAUAUGUACAUUCAUACAGGAGAUUCACCAUAUAAUUGUGAUAUUUGUGGUAAAACAUUCACUGUAAGUAGUAACUUGAAAGUUCAUAAACGUACUCAUACAGGCGAGAAACCUUUUCACUGUGACAUUUGUGGUAAAUCGUUCUCAGAAAAUCGGUUCUUAAAAAAACACAAGCUUAAUCACACAGGAGAACAUCCAUACCACUGUAAUAUCUGUGGUAAAUCAUUCUCAGAAAAUCGUUUCUUAAAAAAACACAAGCUUUAUCAUACAGGUGAGAAACCAUAUCAAUGUGAUAUCUGCCAUGAAUCAUUCUUUGAAAAUUGUUUGUUAAAAAACCACAGACUUAGACACACUGGAGAACCACUGUGUUUGUAGGAAAUCCUUUUCCCACUGAAAUACUUCAACAAAACAUUCAUCCUGGAUCAACUGUUGUAAAUCACUCUCUUGGGGAAAGGCUGUAUCACUCAGAUGUCUUUGAUUAAUCCUUCUCUGAUGGAGAUAUCUUCACCAGACAUGAAGAGAAACCAUGACACUGUGAUAUUUGUGGUAAAGCAUACUCAAGAGAUAGUCACUCAACUACACAACAUCUUAUAUUCAU
This 2511-nucleotide unclassified non-coding RNA is filed under the name Octopus sinensis (East Asian common octopus). RNAcentral's name for it is "zinc finger protein 728-like, transcript variant X1". The record is from RNAcentral. Lineage: Eukaryota; Metazoa; Mollusca; Cephalopoda; Octopoda; Octopodidae.